This is a long non-coding RNA of Passer montanus (Eurasian tree sparrow), 1240 nucleotides long. RefSeq lists it as uncharacterized. The record is from RefSeq and is a predicted model, not a curated record. The transcript has 3 exons. Lineage: Eukaryota; Metazoa; Chordata; Aves; Passeriformes; Passeridae.
CCCGAUGGAUUCUCCUCUGCAUCUCUCCGGCUGCACAACCCACGUGUUGUGGUGCCAAGCAGUAAGCCCAGCUCCUGAAGUUGUUGAAAACGAGUUUGUUACCCGGGGCUGUUCUGGAGGGAGUUGCAACAGCAUUGUGUCAGGAAAGAGGAUGUGGGGACACGUCAAAGCAUGUGUUUUACAGUCCAUAAAAAGUAGAAGGAAGGUCUAUUAGUGCUAAGUCUUUACUAAAUGAAGAGACCAAAGGCUGAAUGUUAACAUGAAGGGAAAGUUUCUCACUGCUGAGAAGCGGAAAUUCAUUACUCCUGGACCCUCAUUGUUACAUUCACAAAGCUCAUCAUCGGCUGCAAGGCUGGCUGGGAAAUAAGAGCAGAGCCGGUGAGCUGCACUGCCAGGAUGACCAUCUGAGAUAAAGAAUAGUGAGAUUUUCUGCACGACUUCUGAAGACCGCCUCUACAUAAGAAAGGAAAUUUAAUGAGGCCAAGCUGAAGUGCGUGCUCACCCGCAGUGGUUGUGCCACUCACUGUGGAUAUCAGGCUGCGAGACAGAACAUGUCCCUUGUCAGGGAGCCCUUCAGCUAGAUGGUAUUUAGAGGUCAUGAGAGGAAACACGCUGAAGAAGUACAGCUGAGGUGAGGAGAAAGUCAUAAAAAUGUUUAGGAGAGGUUAUUGUGUUGGGCGGGUAAGAAAAUAAAACACAAGUUCAAAAUAAACCAGGCGUCACCAGGUUUACUGUUUGUGGAAUUAAAUGAUUAUUUCCAGGAACUCCCCACAAUUCUGUGUGCUGUGACUGCUCAGAUAAAACAACUUCUAAAAUAACCCUUUCAGUAUUUAGAGGUCAAGCCCUACCUCUGAUCAGCUUAUGAUGCAAUUUAGUAAUUUUCCAUUUCCAAACGGAUAAUUUUCAAACAUGUGCUUGUGAUGCUUUUUCUAAGAAGCACUCUCUAUUCUCUGAAAAAGUAAUUGUAAACAGCUCAUAGCCACCUAAUUAUUUUCUCUCAAAGUCCUCAGGCCCACUAAACUCUUGAUGAUGGUUGAGUGGUUGCUAUCCUGAAACUGCUGCCUCAGAUUGAUUGUUUCUGUUUCCUGUUGCUUUCUACCUCAUGGCUACCAGUCCAAGUGCUCCUGUUCAGACCUUUUCUUUGUUGAGCACAAUGAAAGUGUUAGUCAACACAUCAGCCUAUGUAAGGUAAUGCAAGUAAAUAAAUGUCACUAUAUUACUGUACUAGUUCUGUCCUGAA